AGAGUUUGAUCCUGGCUCAGGACGAACGCUGGCGGCGCGCCUAACACAUGCAAGUCGAACGGAGCUUAGAGAGCUUGCUUUUUAAGCUUAGUGGCGAACGGGUGAGUAACGCGUGAGUAACCUGCCCUAGAGUGGGGGACGACAGUUGGAAACGACUGCUAAUACCGCAUAAGCCCACGGUGCCGCAUGACACUGAGGGAAAAGGAUUUAUUCGCUUUAGGAUGGACUCGCGUCCAAUUAGCUAGUUGGUGAGGUAACGGCCCACCAAGGCGACGAUUGGUAGCCGGACUGAGAGGUUGAACGGCCACAUUGGGACUGAGACACGGCCCAGACUCCUACGGGAGGCAGCAGUGGGGGAUAUUGCACAAUGGGGGAAACCCUGAUGCAGCAAUGCCGCGUGAGUGAAGAAGGCCUUCGGGUUGUAAAGCUCUUUUGUCAGGGAAGAAAAGGGCCAGGUUAAUACCCUGGUUUCAUGACGGUACCUGAAGAAUAAGCACCGGCUAACUACGUGCCAGCAGCCGCGGUAAUACGUAGGGUGCAAGCGUUGUCCGGAAUUACUGGGUGUAAAGGGAGCGCAGGCGGGAAGACAAGUUGGAAGUGAAAACCAUGGGCUCAACCCAUGAAUUGCUUUCAAAACUGUUUUUCUUGAGUAGUGCAGAGGUAGAUGGAAUUCCCGGUGUAGCGGUGGAAUGCGUAGAUAUCGGGAGGAACACCAGUGGCGAAGGCGGUCUACUGGGCACCAACUGACGCUGAGGCUCGAAAGCAUGGGUAGCAAACAGGAUUAGAUACCCUGGUAGUCCAUGCCGUAAACGAUGAUUACUAGGUGUUGGGGGAUUGACCCCCUCAGUGCCGCAGUUAACACAAUAAGUAAUCCACCUGGGGAGUACGACCGCAAGGUUGAAACUCAAAGGAAUUGACGGGGGCCCGCACAAGCAGUGGAGUAUGUGGUUUAAUUCGAAGCAACGCGAAGAACCUUACCAGGUCUUGACAUCCGAUGCAUAGCACAGAGAUGUGUGAAAUCCUUCGGGACAUCGAGACAGGUGGUGCAUGGUUGUCGUCAGCUCGUGUCGUGAGAUGUUGGGUUAAGUCCCGCAACGAGCGCAACCCUUAUUGCCAGUUACUACGUUAAGAGGACUCUGGCGAGACUGCCGUUGACAAAACGGAGGAAGGUGGGGAUGACGUCAAAUCAUCAUGCCCUUUAUGACCUGGGCUACACACGUACUACAAUGGCGUUAAACAAAGAGAAGCAAGACCGCGAGGUGGAGCAAAACUCAAAAACAACGUCUCAGUUCAGAUUGCAGGCUGCAACUCGCCUGCAUGAAGUCGGAAUUGCUAGUAAUCGCGGAUCAGCAUGCCGCGGUGAAUACGUUCCCGGGCCUUGCACAAAGCGCCCGUCA
This 1397-nucleotide ribosomal RNA is filed under the name uncultured bacterium. RNAcentral's name for it is "bacterial SSU rRNA". It matches the Rfam family "Bacterial small subunit ribosomal RNA". The record is from RNAcentral.